RNAcentral lists this ribosomal RNA (207 nucleotides) under uncultured bacterium. RNAcentral's name for it is "partial 16S ribosomal RNA". It matches the Rfam family "Bacterial small subunit ribosomal RNA", at positions 568 to 774 of the family's 1533-position model. The record is from RNAcentral.
CGCGCAGGCGGUCUUCCAAGUCAGUGGUGAAAGCCCGGAGCUCAACUCCGGAACUGCCAUUGAAACUGUAAGACUUGAGGAUGAGAGAGGUGAGUGGAAUUCCCAGUGUAGAGGUGAAAUUCGUAGAUAUUGGGAAGAACACCGGUGGCGAAGGCGGCUCACUGGCUCAUUUCUGACGCUCAGGCGCGACAGCGUGGGGAUCAAACA